AAAUGGACACUAUAAAGAUGGGGUUUGAGCAGAGAGGAGGCUAAUCUAUGAUCAAGAUGAGGGGGGUUACACUUCUCUGUUUGGUGGGGUUCAUUCUCGCAGCCUCGUGGCCUGAAAAAGGAGGCACGGUGCCACUUCAGUCGGCAAAGCAGACCACUCAGCCUCCCUUAAAUAUGUGGCACUUUCUUGCAAACAGCAAAGGUUUCGAGCCUAUACCCGCUGAUGGAACAGUGAUUGAGGGGAACCAAAAAUGAAGACAGCCAGCAGAGAGGCUGGACUGAUGGCAACUUGUUUUAAAUCAGAGAUGGAAAUGACAAUUUAAGUUUAUUUUUUUGGUGCUUCCGUCUCCUUCAAAUAAACAUUUCAAGUCUG
This is a long non-coding RNA of Anoplopoma fimbria (sablefish), 372 nucleotides long. RefSeq lists it as uncharacterized. The transcript has 4 exons. The record is from RefSeq and is a predicted model, not a curated record. Lineage: Eukaryota; Metazoa; Chordata; Actinopteri; Perciformes; Anoplopomatidae.